UUUAAUUGAAGAGUUUGAUCAUGGCUCAGAUUGAACGCUGGCGGCAGGCCUAACACAUGCAAGUCGAGCGGCAG
RNAcentral lists this ribosomal RNA (74 nucleotides) under Vibrio cholerae. RNAcentral's name for it is "partial 16S ribosomal RNA". It matches the Rfam family "Bacterial small subunit ribosomal RNA", at positions 1 to 72 of the family's 1533-position model. Lineage: Bacteria; Pseudomonadati; Pseudomonadota; Gammaproteobacteria; Vibrionales; Vibrionaceae. The record is from RNAcentral. RNAcentral also lists the same sequence under 3 other names.